AUGACAGCAGUGACCAUCUACUCGUCGCACACAGGAGCCUGGAGUCGCAAGGAUGUUGCGCUGGUUGAGAAAGUUGCACUGUUCUUCUGUAGUAAAUGUGUCUUUGUAGGUGGUAUGAUGUACGUGAUUGGCAACCCGAGGUACAUUAACGAGUAUGUUAUGGUGGUGGUGGGAGUGAACAUGGAGGGGAAAGUGUGGGAGACUAUCCGCGUGCCGUAUGGUUCGAGAUUUGGUACGAUUGGGUCGUCGCAGGGGUGCUUACACUAUGCUAUAGCUUCUGUUGAUGAUAACAAUAACAUCAUACUUUCUGAGAUAGAACUCUGGUGCCUCAAGGAUCGUGAUAGUAAAGAAUUGGUCCUGAAGCAUACUGCCAGCAUCAAUUAG
RNAcentral lists this ribosomal RNA (384 nucleotides) under Triticum aestivum (bread wheat). Its description in RNAcentral is "partial small subunit ribosomal RNA". The record is from RNAcentral. Lineage: Eukaryota; Viridiplantae; Streptophyta; Magnoliopsida; Poales; Poaceae.